GUUCUUAUUGUUUCCACCAGCGGUGGUUUUUCGGACCACAGGGCUUGGUGUUUAAAUCCAAGUAGGAACUAG
This 72-nucleotide transfer RNA is filed under the name Tarentola mauritanica (Moorish gecko). RNAcentral's name for it is "tRNA-Glu". Lineage: Eukaryota; Metazoa; Chordata; Lepidosauria; Squamata; Phyllodactylidae. The record is from RNAcentral.